UUAAAUUGAAGAGUUUGAUCAUGGCUCAGAUUGAACGCUGGCGGCAGGCUUAACACAUGCAAGUCGAGCGGAAACGAGUUAUCUGAGCCUUCGGGGGACGAUAACGGCGUCGAGCGGCGGACGGGUGAGUAAUGCCUAGGAAAUUGCCCUGAUGUGGGGGAUAACCAUUGGAAACGAUGGCUAAUACCGCAU
Molecule: ribosomal RNA, 192 nt
Filed under: Vibrio alginolyticus
Lineage: Bacteria; Pseudomonadati; Pseudomonadota; Gammaproteobacteria; Vibrionales; Vibrionaceae
Description: partial 16S ribosomal RNA
Rfam family: Bacterial small subunit ribosomal RNA
Source: RNAcentral